UACGUAGGGGGCAAGCGUUGUCCGGAAUUAUUGGGCGUAAAGAGCGCGUAGGCGGUCCGAUAAGUCGGCUGUGAAAGUCAGGGGCUCAACCCUUGAAAGCCGGCCGAUACUGUCGGGCUAGAGUCCGGAAGAGGCAAGUGGAAUUCCUGGUGUAGCGGUGAAAUGCGCAGAUAUCAGGAGGAACACCAAUGGCGAAGGCAGCUCACUGGGACGUUACUGACGCUGAGACGCGAAAGCCAGGGGAGCAAACGGG
RNAcentral lists this ribosomal RNA (253 nucleotides) under uncultured bacterium. RNAcentral's name for it is "partial 16S ribosomal RNA". It matches the Rfam family "Bacterial small subunit ribosomal RNA", at positions 524 to 776 of the family's 1533-position model. The record is from RNAcentral.